Long non-coding RNA from Antechinus flavipes (yellow-footed antechinus), 858 nucleotides. RefSeq lists it as uncharacterized. Lineage: Eukaryota; Metazoa; Chordata; Mammalia; Dasyuromorphia; Dasyuridae. The record is from RefSeq and is a predicted model, not a curated record. The transcript has 2 exons.
UUAGGUGAGGAAAUUGAGAUAAAAAGAUAGUGACUUGUUUGUGAUCACAAAGCCUACAUUGAGUUAAAGAAAGAAUGGACUAUUUGUUGAUAGGAGGAUCAAGCCAGAUCCAAAUGAACCCAGAGAGCUUGCAUGGACUAUGGGUGAUAUCUGUGCCUAGAGCUGACAAGCAGGCAGAAUUUGAUUGGCUUUGGAAAGACUUGCAUGAACUGAUGAUAAAUGAACCAAGAGAACAUUGUACACAGCAAGAUGAUUAUGUGAUGAUCAAAUGUGAUGGACUUGGCUCUUUUCAACAAUGAGGAGAUUCAGUGUAAUUCCAAUAGACUUAGAAUGGAAAGUGUCAUUCCUAUCCAGAGAAGGAACUAUGGAAACUGAAUGUGGAUCAAAGCAUAGUAUUUUCACCUUUUUUUGUUGUUUAUUUGCUUUUUUUCUUUCUCUUGUUUUUUUUUCCCCCCUUUUGAUCCUUUUCUUGGGCAGCAUGAUGAAUAUAGAAAUAUAUUUGGAAGAAUUGCACAUGUUUAAACUGUAUUAGAUUGCUUACUAUCUAGGGAAGGGGGGAGUCAGGGAGAGAGGAAGAAAAACUUGAAACAAGGUUUUGCAAAAGUGAAUGUUGAAAACUAUCUUUGCAUGUAUUUGGAAAAAUAAAAUACUACUUUAAACAAUUGAAUUAAACUUUAAAAUAUUUGAUUGGCUUGAUCUGUAUUCUAUCACAAAAAUUAUAGAUAGUCCUGUUUUAUCAUCAUCAAUUUGUUGUUGUUUUUUUUUAUUUUUAUGUUGGAAACUAUGACUAAUUACUUCUUCUGGACAAGUCAAACCUAAGUGAGAAGAAUACUUCAGAAAUAAAUCCUAUAAGGAAUA